RNAcentral lists this ribosomal RNA (387 nucleotides) under uncultured bacterium. Its description in RNAcentral is "bacterial SSU rRNA". It matches the Rfam family "Bacterial small subunit ribosomal RNA", at positions 29 to 417 of the family's 1533-position model. The record is from RNAcentral.
AUUGAACGCUGGCGGCGUGCUUAACACAUGCAAGUCGUGCGGUAACAGGCGUAGCAAUACGUGCUGACGAGCGGCGAACGGGUGCGUAAUACAUGGGAAUCUGCCCUUUAGUGGGGAAUAACCCGGCGAAAGCCGGGCUAAUGCCGCAUAAGAUCUUCGGAUGAAAGCGGGGGAUCGUAAGACCUCGCGCUGAUGGAUGAGCCCAUGUCGGAUUAGCUAGNGGUGAGGUAACGGCUCACCAAGGCGACGAUCCGUAGCUGGUCUGAGAGGACGGCCAGCCACACUGGGACUGAGACACGGCCCAGACUCCUACGGGAGGCAGCAGUGGGAAUCUUGCGCAAUGGGCGAAAGCCUGACGCAGCGACGCCGCGUGAGGGAUGACGGCCU